ACAUGCUUACGACAUAGUGUUAAUGCACCAGAUCCCAUUAGAAAUUUGUAGUUAAGCGUGCUUGGGAAAAAGUAGUACUGGGAUGGGUGACUGUUCGGGAAGUCCUAGUAUUUUACAUGCC
This is a non-coding RNA of Picea glauca (white spruce), 121 nucleotides long. The record is from Rfam. Lineage: Eukaryota; Viridiplantae; Streptophyta; Pinopsida; Pinales; Pinaceae.